GGCAUGGGGAUUGCGAUCUCCCCACGAGGCGACAUGCUGAAGAAUCGCGUCCCGGUUAGCGCAAGGACGCAUCGUG
This 76-nucleotide non-coding RNA is filed under the name unclassified sequences. Its description in RNAcentral is "chrB RNA". It matches the Rfam family "chrB-a RNA". The record is from RNAcentral.